UGGACUUGAAAUAUAUCAGACCGUCCGUGAAAGCGGAUUUCUGCUUGCAGCUGUUAUAC
Molecule: ribosomal RNA, 59 nt
Filed under: uncultured bacterium
Lineage: Bacteria
Description: partial 16S ribosomal RNA
Source: RNAcentral